RNAcentral lists this ribosomal RNA (253 nucleotides) under uncultured Lachnospiraceae bacterium. RNAcentral's name for it is "partial 16S ribosomal RNA". It matches the Rfam family "Bacterial small subunit ribosomal RNA", at positions 524 to 776 of the family's 1533-position model. The record is from RNAcentral. Lineage: Bacteria; Bacillati; Bacillota; Clostridia; Lachnospirales; Lachnospiraceae.
UACGUAGGGGGCAAGCGUUAUCCGGAUUUACUGGGUGUAAAGGGAGCGUAGACGGCCAGACAAGUCUGAAGUGAAAAUCCAGCGCUUAACGUUGGAAGUGCUUUGGAAACUGCCGGGCUAGAGUGCAGGAGGGGCAGGCGGAAUUCCUAGUGUAGCGGUGAAAUGCUUAGAGAUCAUACAGAACACCGAUUGCGAAGGCAGCUUACCAAGCUACUUCUGACGUUGAGGCACGAAAGCGUGGGGAGCAAACAGG